UCUUUUACUUUGAAGAAACAUUUUGCAUAAUUUAAAAAAAGAGAGAAGAAUAUUUGAAUUUAGAAGGAAAGAGAAAAUUGUUCGGGACAAACUUGCUUACCAAUUGGUUCCUGGCUUUUGUGCCGAACGUAAACUAAAUGUAUGGGCCUGGGAGCAUCUGGGUCAUUUUGCUCUCCGCUCCCUUCUCUCGGGGCCCUGAUCGUCCCUUUGUCUCGGGCCGAGUCCCUUCGGGUCCCUCCUUCUCCGGUUGGACCAACCGACAAAGGUCUCUCUCCUCGGCUUCGCUGUAUACCUGUAUACCGUGUGCAGCACGCCGAUGCCGAUACAGCCGUUGCUUUCUACAAGGUGUCUCGAAACCGACAGAAGAGAAAGUUGUAAAGAUCUUCGACGAGAAGCGUUGCGGGAAACAUCGACCAAGCUUGACGGAUUAUUUUCUUUCGUCUUAGAUUGGAUUUCGUUUCGCAGUUUCUAAUUACCGAGUAUGUCUGAACGGUUCGGAAUCUUAGAUAAAGAGAAAGAUCCCAUUUUAAUAGAGAGGAUGUGUAAUAUGGUCUCCUGAUUUUAUAUUCCUUUCUCAAAUUAGAUUCAUAAUUUAAACUGCUUUAAAGUUUGGGUGAAAUGUAGAUGAUCUAAUUAGAUUACCAUUGUCGUAACUAGGAUUUUUUUCUGAGAUGAAUCAGGUCCCAUAGAAAUUUAAGAAUUUUACAAUUCUGAAAAUCUAAAAUUUAGAAGUUUUUGAAUUUUCACAUUUUGGGAUUUUUAAAUUUUAGAAUCUUAUAAUUAUAAAAUGAUGAGGGGCCCGCUCCAGUCUUACCUUGCCCCUUAUCUAGUUACGUCAGUGUAGAUUAUCUAUGAUAAAAGGUGAAAGUAAAAGAAAAAAAAAACUUAUUUGAAUUUCAGAGCCUGAUGCCUUUAUUAUAAUAUGAAAAUUACCAAGAGGAGCCCAUAAUACCACAUUUAUAGGUUUGUGUUUCGAUUAACCAGGUUUACUGUUAGGUAACGCAUUUUUUCCGCUGAAAUAUUAUGUUAUUUGACAAAAAUGAAAGUAUACCGGGUAUUUCUGCGCUGAUGUCGGCAAAGUUAGAACGCAGCCCGUUAUACGAGACACCGCUGGCUUCCGGUUACCUUCUGCAUUCCUAGGUGACGAAGCGCGUGCAUAUUCCUACCAACGACACGCUUCUAAACAGCAAGGCCGGGGAUACUUGAGAAUCACAAUUAUAAUGCAAUCGCGGCGUUAAUUCAUUUCUGCGGAUGACUUAAUUAUACCGUUAGCGCAUCUUCAUCGUCCUUAUCAUCUGGUGUUAAGGUUCAAUCAACCUACCAUUGAGGUUGAUGAUCGCGAUCGAAUCAGGUUUUCCUAGGGAAAGCAGAAGUUCUAAAAAUCUUAAUUUCAACGAUAUUGAUAUUAAAAUUAAUUUAGAAACAGAAUAAUAUAAUUUUUAUUUAAUAAAUAUUAUAAAAUUUAGUAUAUGUAUAAUCAAUUCAAAUAUGAAAAUCAACGAAUAUUGAAAUAUUGCAAAUAAUCCUUUGCCACAUUCAUGAUAAUUUCAUGGUGCAAAAAUGUACCCUUUUUAUUUACAUCCGAUAAUGACUCGUAGAUGUGCGAAUCGGUCGUUAGUAAGAAACACACGACGUGCUAAUUAUUAAAAUAACACAGAAUCGAAUUAUACGGCGAAGGUAUGAUAGAAACGUGAGAAACGCAUACCCGCGUCUCUCUCAAUGCAAGUAUCUGACGAUAACCGUGUAUCGGGUACGAUAGGACUAUUUUAGCGCGAUGUUGGAUGAAAUUACAGUUAAUUAUAAAAUUGACGUGAUCAUCGUGAUUAACUUCUCCCAUUGGUAAUUAUCAACUUGUAUUUUCAUAAUACCGUCUAGGUACGAAGUAUAAUUAACCUUUGAAACGCGUCGUGGGUGCGCAUCAAUGUAGAUUAUCGCCAUAACCGUGACCCAUAAAUUACCAUAGAUUUUUCUACCAUAAUUUAUCCGUUAAUUUCCAAAAGACUCCGCCGCAUCAAUUAAAUUAAAGUAAAACCUUCCACGUUAGAGUAAUAAUAAAAUUAGGCACGUUAGAGUAAUAAACAAACAUAGAAUGUAGGUUGUUCGAUAUUGUUCUACAACAGUAGGUCUUUCACUCGGCGACCUGUCCCUAGACACACCUUGGUGUCAGGAGUCAUCGUGCGUAUUUAUAGAACGUGACUGGUGAUUCUAGUGUCAUUUGUCGGUAAUAAGUUACUGUAAUGACACCAUUGUACGUAACGACCGUUGCACCUGCAUUUUCACGGCCUUAUAAACCGACAAGAUUUUCAUUGGCUUUCUUCUACCAUUUGCGCAAUACAUUCCUCGGUAAUUGUAUUCAGAAUAUCGAAUAAAUCGUACGGUAACGAGGUACAGUAAGCGUUCGAUAAUUCCCCGCAUUUCGGAUUCUAGAGUUGAACAGGAAAUUAUCGAGCGUCAAUGGCAUAAGUGUUUUCUUCAUAGUUCAUUCGUUUCUCUGGUGCUAUUUAUUUUUUUUUUUACAUGUAAUCAUAUAACGAGGAAUUAACGAGCGUUUACUGUAUUCGGUUUCGAUUUAUCCGAAGAUCAUCGUCGAGAUGUUAUAAAUUGAUAAAUUAAAAUAUGACGUAACGGCUGAUCGAUCAUGCUUAUCGUUCUCGGAAUUACACGUUUCUGUUCAUUAGUCACCUAUAAUUUUCAUUAUGUACUCGACGCGUUCUACGUAACGAUGGCGCCUAUUGCAUUCGCUUAUUUAUUCGACUAUCUCGUAUAAUUGUUUCUCAUGAUUACACAAAGACGGUGUUACGGGUUGUUAAGGUGUUCGCCACAGUGGAUACAAUUAAGUCUCGAUCAUAGAACGUGUGUUUUAGAAUCUUUUACAAAAGGGAAAUAUAGUUUACGUCAGUGUUUCUCAACGCUUUUCUCGACGCGCAAAGACGAUUUAUUUACAAAGCGAUGCAUUGCAUAACGUUAAAAUCAGAGAUACGUGACUUUCGUUUGCUGCGUCUUUUAUCAGAGCAGCCGCGACUGACAAAACGCACGUACACGAAAUGGACGUAAAUAAGUUCGACAACCUGGUCCUCGUCCAAUGGCAAUGAAUAUUGAAAAACACUUGCGACCCGCUGAAAAGACGGAUCGUAGCGAAAGGGUUAAACAGAUAAGUAGCAGCGGUGAGCGUGUCAUUCGGUCAACGAUCUCGUAAGGCGGGUACGUGGCACGAGUGGGAGAUCGGGCAAAAAGGCAAGCGACGUAAGAAAAACUCGGUCAAAUGGAUCGAGAGUAUCGCCUACUUGGUGUGUUUUCUUUUUACCGUCCUCCUUCUUUCACCCCCUUCGAUGUGUCUCGUUUUAACCGCGCUGAAUUUCCAUUAUUUCCCUUCGUUCACGUUUAUCUAAUCUGUAUUAAAAAUCUUGCUCUGCAGCCACAGAAAUUGAAAAUUAAUUUCCGAUGUCGUGUAUCCUUGAUUAUCAAAUUUUCAAAUGUUAAUUAGUCAUUUUACGACCAUCGCUAGCCUUCGAGGUAUUUAGAUCUAUGAAUAACGCGAUUAUUCUUCUUGGUCGAUGAUCGAGACCCGUGUAAAGGUGGUUCUUGGAAAAAAAAAAAAAGAAAAGGAAAAGGAGGUCGGGUUGAACGAUCGCGAACUUAUUCGCUUGGCAAACGUAGCAGAGGGCAUAAUGAACCGAUCUGCUUGUUGACAAACAUUCUGUUUACAAAUAGCUCGUUUGCUGCUCGACGACCAAAAUAAUUGUUCAAACGUCGUUCUCAAUGCCAGGGGUUAUUAAGUUACGAGGCUUCGCCUUCGGAACUCUUCGAUUUAUAGAUCAGUCAUUCAUUAUACGCAGUUAACCCUGGAAACGUCGAGUCUCGUACCGACAAUUCGUUUCUAAUGUCUUCUUUUUAAAUAACAUAUCUUUAUUAACACUAGAUUACCGGAGCGAGUCAAUUUGACUCAUUUACCAAAUAAUUUCAUAAUCAAGUGUUUUUAGCACCUUAAGCCGAAUGUACGUGCACUGAAUUUCGCGGUACAGUCGAGCUAUGUCGCGAGAAAGUUUAUAUAUCCCGGACAGUCCGAGGUGAACGAACCUGUGCCGCUCGUUCCGAACGCAGAAGCAAUUUAUAAUCGAUGAACGGGCAAUUAGCGCGACACAAUUACCAAGAGAGAAAAAAAAAAUAGAAGCAACAGAUGAUUCUUUGUCGUGUUACACCGCUGCCCUUUGCAGUAAAAGGGUCAACCUCGUUGCGGUUUCAGAGAGAGAGAGAGGGGGAGGAAACUGACGUAGGUAAAUUGCAUAACAUUAUUAAUUGCAAUUAACGUUGCGUUACAUGUUCACGCAAUGGCAAGCUGAUUACCAGCCAGAGAUCGUGUUCGCCAUCUACACGCAACACGAUUUCGAUGCACUUGGCCAUUUUUAGCGAAGUCCUCGACUUUUCUCGUUAUCAGUUUCGAAGAAAAGUAAAUUUCGUAUAUUUAGAGCUAAAUAUAAUAAUCAAUAGGGGUGUGAGGGAUUUUGAAAAUAUCGAUUCAAAUUGCGAGUCCGAGUACCAGAAAUUUUCUGGCUCUCACUCAUCUCUAAUAAUUAAACUUUUACGAGAUGAAAAUAUAUGGAAAUUUCACGUUUGAAAUUAUGAAUUAAAAGUCCUGUCACGGAGGAAUUAAUUUGUGGGUUGAAGAUUGAAGCAGGUUCGUAGCCAUCGCUGUUUACCAUUGCAAACAUUCAGUGCAUAGGCAUGAAGCGUAAUGGAUAUAGUACAACGCGGAGCGUACUAUGAGUGGCCACUAAAUGGAAACGUGAAUGAAGCUCGUUGGAACUGUAUUCCCCCAGCGAUUCUAAGCACGAAUAAGGAAACGCGCUGAUUACGUGGACGGAAAAGGAGGAAGAAGAAGGUGGUAUUAUGUGACGUUUACGUGCGUAGUACGUCUUAUCCUAAUCUGCCAAACCGGCAACCGACGAUCCGAUAACAUCUCGCCUCUCGUGUUGUGUAUUCGUAACGUGUACCGUGUAUUCGCACUGCACCAACCAUGAAUGAAACACUUUCGAGCCGAAGAAUAAAUUCAUACAUUUUUCUCUUUCAUUUUUCUAACUCGAUAUGAAUAUUUUCAUACGUUGCCCGUUAACCCUGAGAACUUGGUCUUUACGGGGUUAAAAUAAUGCGAUCACACUGUAAAUACAGUGGUACCUCGGUAUAGGACUUUAAUCCGUUCCUGAUGUUUGGACAUCAACUCCGAAUAUAAUUGAUUAUUAUUUAAAAAUGACGCAAAAUUCACAGAAAAAAUUCAUGUCGUAUACCGAGGAAAAUUCGUCACGUCCAAACAGGACGUAUUCCGAAGUAUUAAAAAUUGACCAUCGGUCCAGUAAGAUUAUUAAUUACUAUAUUCUUGCAUCGAGUCAUCGGUUGAUUCAGUCAUUUACGGUUGCUGUCGGCCGGUAUCGCAUUUUCAAACCAGCUUUCUCUCGGAUCAGGUUUGAACCCGAGAAUGGAAGGAACAUUCUCACGAUGACGUACGUGGUUGUAUCGAUUUUUUAGUUCGAUCAGAAUCGAAUAUCCUUAGCUUUCCCUCGAUCGUGUGAAAAUGUUCAAUCGAUUGAUUCCUUUAAUUAGGGCAAGCUAGUUAGGGUAAUUAAAUGGCUAAAUAUAAUAUUGUAAAUAUGAACGAUAAUAAAUGCAAAUGUCAUUUGCAUCUGUUUGGUUGAAAGUGUCUCAUAUAAAAUACCGGGAAUCGCGAUUGGAAAAUCCAGUUUCACGCUGCGGGAUAAUUUCCAAUUACGCGUCUCGAUUCGACGCGGUGCUUAAAAGACGAUAAAAUUGGAUUAUAAUCUACGGCAUUGGUGGCGCGAUAAAUGAUCCCCCUUCGACUCUGAUUGUACAGUCAGUCACCCUUGUUUAUUGCCGCUCGUGUCGGCGACCAGUCGUACAGAGUCCACGGCAGUAACAUCAACAGUAGUUACCGUGGCGAAAAUAGGGUCAAGUACAAGUUUUACGAGCCAUCCGUGCCGGCAAGAUUGUUUUCUACCGUACGUCGUUCACGGCGCCAUUAAAACAACGCUCUGAAUAGAGGAAUACUGAAAAUCAAUUUGAUCCCUUUCGUAACAGGACGAAAAAAUAAAAGGAAACGAACGCGGUACAGUUCAGUUCUGAUUAAAAGAUCAGUUAACCGAAUCGUCGUUCGACGCUCGAUACUCGAUCCGAUAUCAAUUUCGAUGGAAAAAUUUUUCCAAUUUUUUUCGUGCCUCCGUAGAUAUUAGAUUCUAUCGAAUGUUUGUAAUAAAGGUUCGUUUUAUUUUCGCAAUAACUUUUACCGAUAGAAAGUUGAUCGAGCAAUGAUUGGAAAAGAAAAUAAUAACGAUUCGUAUUACUGUAAUGGAAAAAAUUAAAUUUAUUACCGGACAGAUAGAAAUCAGUGGAUAGAUUCAUUCAGUUGUUUAAUCGCUUGAUACGUAACUGGAUAUUCUCAUGAAUGAGGGCAGGGUUAUCUCCUAUUAACGUUCCAAUAACCGACUUUUGUUGUUUUCUAGUCAAUGGAAAAAUGAUUGACCUCUAGCGCGAUUAAUAUCUUCGUCCAUUCAUGCGAACGUUCUUGAACAGCUCUUGAAUAAACUCUCUUGGAUACCGCAAUUGAAUCACCCAUUAAUAAUGAUUUAAUUAAUUUAUAUUACACACAGAUGAUAGUUCAUUCAAUUUCAUUUAUUAAUCAAUUAAAACAAAUAAAAACAUUUAACAUUAAUAAAAUGUUGCGUAUACAAAUUAAUUCGGUACUUUUUUAUAAAAAAUUUAUUAAAAAUCCUCGUCCUAGGAUUAAUUACUAGCGAUAAAGUAAGCCGAAUUAAUUCGUAUACCUAAUAAUUCUGUGAAGCUCGAAAAAACGUAUCCGCCCGCGAUAUCGCGUGAACGUUUCGUCACAGUUCGUUCGGCGAGAUCACUGUACCGUGAAACGCGUGCGCGACAGAAAAAUUUGUCCGCCGACAUAUUUCCUCCGGCCGGUGUGUUUCACAUGCGUUUUUCACGUAGACGAUCGGUUGACCGCAGCGUGUCUGCGUCUAGUCGGUUCUCGGGUGUCCGGAACGUUAGCAGCCGCGAUGGGAGCGCACGGUGUCGGUGGAGGCGUUGCGUUUCACAAAGACCGCGAGAAAAUGUAGAAAUAUUUCGCGGUUCGUACAGAACGCUGGUGGCAUGCGCACACUGGUCAUAGGUCGUGACUGAAGAGAGGAUUAUUAUAAGAGAACGGCGGGAGGGUUAAGUUGUAGGGUGUAGGUGGAGGAGGAGGUGGUGGUCGACGGCGCGAAGCGUCGAGACGCGGGCCGGGAAAAGCGAGCACGCUAGCGGCGCGUCGACCAGAAUAAAGCGUAGAAGACCGGCUCGAUGCGAUUGUGUGGCGUGUGUAUACGGUUUCAGAUCGACGGAUAGACGAAUGAGAAAGGACGGACUGACAAACGGAUAAACGGACGGACCGACUGGCGGGAGUACAGACGCCACAUAGCCAGACAGUGAGUGCCGUGCUAUUUUCAGGCUGCAGUCGUCUACCACGUUGCCAACCUAACCUUACUUAAUCCCAACCUCAACCUUACCGGCCAACUGAACUUCCUCUCUCCUUCCAACUGACCGCUCUCCUUUCUAUACUCGUUUCUCUCUCUCUCUCUCUCCACUUGUUCCACCGCAUCAUCCACUCCCUUCCUUCUUUUUUCUUCUUUUCCACUUCAGACCGCUUAAUGUGUUGCAUGGCCUCCACCGUAUUCACUGUUAUUCUUAUCCGUCCCUCGGAUACUGCUUUUCGCACCACUUUGGAAAUUUUUCUUACCCUCGUCUGUCGAAUUUCUAUUUUUUUCGAGGUAUCAUCCAUAGUAAUGGACUUGUACCUUCUUGUUCGUUGCACGUUGAAAAUUACCACGAUGAUCACCGGCGAACCGCGACAUUAUCCCGUACCUCGUAACCGUAAAUUGGGAUGCAUGAAUAUAAAAAUAAAUGGGAUCGGCGUUAGCCUGGCAGAACUUUGCAUAAUUACGCUAUUCCCGGAAGUCGCGUUCGAUCGGUCCUUUGUACCGUCGAACAAAGCGGUUCAACGUAAAUUGAUAUCGACUUGUUAAAAUCAGAAAUAUUUGUUUCCGAACGAAUCGUUUGUCUUCUAAAUUCAACGACAUACCUCUGAAUUCUUAAGCAAUUAUGACACUAUGGGAUAAAAAAGGAAAAAUGUUGAAAUUGAUCGUAAAGUAUCGUGGCAGCGUGUUAGGAGGGCUCGCGUCGUUAACCAGGGCAAUAUUUAGCACCGCAAUUCGGUGGAAUUUAAUAGGCGCAUUAGGGGGCUGGGAGCCGGGAAAAAUGUGCUGCAAGCGUAGAGAAAGGGUAGAUGAAAGAAGAAGCGGAGGAAGUUAAAAUACCAAGGAGGCGUGCAUGAACGAAACCGGUUGGACGGUCUGGUCGGGUUUGGUCUGGUCUGGUCUGUUCUGCGGCGCGAUGGGGAGGGGAGGAAACCGCGUCGUCCGGUCGUGCUCGAGUUCAGAUAACGAGGUUGCCCGGUGCAGUUUUGCAAAACUGGAUUUUCGUGUAAGAUUUCUGGCCAAUGGGCCACAGCGGUUCUCGCGUCUCUCUUUCCACGGUAUUUUUCUGCCGGAGGCUUGAAAGCCAGCCGGAUCGGUCGGUCGUUUUCAUUCCCGAUCGAGACGAAGCGACCGCGACCAGAGUAGAAGAAGGAAAACGGUGCAGUCGUCUCGUCGGUUUCCUCUUAUCGCUUUAUAUCUCGGUGGGUGCCGUUGCGGUUGCAUUUGCGGCGUGCCUCGGCUUUUUAUACGGCCUUGAGCGCGGCCGAACCGAUCAGAACCAGGACGAGACUUGGUCCUGGACGAGAUACCCAGCUGUCUCGAUUUGCUAUUACCUCUUAUUUUUCCUGCAGCCCGAUAACUCGAUACCCGAACAGCUUCUCCGUCGUUUUAUCGUGUGAUUCAACCGUUCAGAGUAUUAAAUUGCAAGAAGUUAAGUUUUUCUAUUAUUUCUGCGUGUUAUACGUUUCUACUGCGGUGAUGGCGUUAUUACGACUGUACUAAAGUGCUGUGGUAACGGUGUCUAUUUACCUUCUUCGGCUAGGAAGUCUUAUUUCUAGGGGUAUGCAGGUAUCCGAGAAAUAAGAUACCCGAAAUUUCGAGGGCAGCAUAGUCCGUUGCUCAACCAAGGUAAAUGGGCUUUACAAUUUUCUCUAGUCGAAAAGUCGUCAGUUCCAUGAAGCUAGACGCAAAUGGUAGGAAUUGUAUGAUAAGGACACUCGGCGUGGAAUGACCAAGAGAAAGAGUGCAUUCUGUUCGUAAAAGGCGAGCCGGAGGCUAGCUGGGCGCGGCACACACGGUUUCUGCUCGCUACUUUUAUGAAUGAAUGCAGUUCGAGUGGGUGUGCGUAGUUGUGACUGCGCCUCCGCGCUUCGAGCUGUGCCCCGCGCUUGUGUGCGUGUUCCCCUCGCGUAUUUCUUCGUUGUACGACGCGCGUACACGGACAACCACGGACCGUGAUGAUGAUGAUGCCUGCCUGCUGGUGGACGGCAUUUCUGUUGCCGCCCGCGUACUCGUGCCUGGCUGCGGACGCACCUGGCGCGUGUGUGCGUGAAUCGGUUAGGCUAACCGCGUCAGACGAUGACUUCAUUCUACGUUUUUCCGGUCAUAUACUUUCCGACCAGAUUCUACAAUAGAACUACGCUUAUUAUUAACCCGUUAAUUCCUGGGAAUUAAAAAUAUUAAUACGUUACUAAGAUGAAUAGGUAAUAGAAAACGGAAAUUCUGGUGGAGAAUUUCCAGGAUCCGCCGUCCGCGUGUUAACGGGUUAACAAGAAAUUCAGAUACAUUAUUACAAGAAAAAUGAAAUUUUUAAAAAUAUAAAAAACGGUACCUUUUGAUAGAGCGGAACGAAAAGCCGAUAAAGUAUUCUUCCGUUAGUAGACGAAAAACUGGCAACACCUAUCAACGUCCUUUGCAAACAAGAUCUCUCGCGAAUAAAAAGAAUUCACCAGGCAACGUUUCUUAUCUCUCGCGCAAAGAGAACACGACGUGUUCCAGACGAAUUCCUUCGCGAAUUCUUUAAGAGUACAAGUUUGAAUCGACUCGCGAGACGAAUCGCGCGAAACGUUUUACAGCUUCGCGGAGGGGGGAAAAAAAGCCGAAGAAGGAAACGGCGUGUGAAAAGUUUGAAACCCCUCGGAGAGAGGUGUGUUUUAUUAAGCAAUUCAACCGGUGAGCGUUUUCGAAGGAGGUAGGAUCGCCGCCUUCGCGACGAGAGAACCACGAUCGCAUCCUGCUCCUCGUGGGCUUUAAACGAGCGCCGUAAAUCAGCACGGGACAAGCUUAAAAGUCUUUUAACUCGGUGCCCGUGGACGUGUGGGCCCAUCGCGGGAUCGAGAUCGCUUGAUUUUUCGUUCCCUCGUUCGUUUACACCCACCGAACUACUCGCUCGGUGUAACUGUACCGACACACGCGUUCCUGGAAACGUUCGAGCCUGUCUUUCACCACAAAUAUAGCUGUGAACGGUCGUUGAAAAGGAAAAACAGCGGUGAAAAACGGGGGGAAAAAAAGGGGGAGAGGUCCACCGGUCCGAGGAAAACACGUUUAACCGUUUAACGUCCGCGCUAAAUUUCACGGAUUCCAUGGAUUCUUUGCUCUUGACGGUUUUCUUUGUCGAAACUGGCCACUUGUAAUUUCUUGUGCAAUCACGUUCGACUUUUGUCGUAGGCUGAAGAGAAAUGUCUCUGCCUCCUUUUUGGAAUUAAGUUAUUUAGUAGAGGUGUGCGAGAACUCGAAAAUUUCGGGUACUCGAAUUUAAUUAAAAUUAAUGAUAAAUUUGUUCUGAAGGAUAAGUGAUAAUGAGAGAAACAUAGAGGACCGAAAAUGUGAAAAACGGAUCGUGCAAUAGCCAGGAGGAACACCCUAGUCGCUGGCCAAUUAGCGCUUGAAGGAUAAAUAAUGUAUCGACGCGCGAUUAGAUCGCGUGUCGCGUUAAUUGGACCGCUAAUUAAUCGAGGUCGAUCACUUACGGGGAGAGUAGAACGACAUCUGCACUCGACUCCCCCUUUAAACGCUUCUACUUACUCUUCGUUGUUUAAAUAUUUUUUUCAAUUAUUCUUAAUUAUCCAAAGUACAUUUAAAUGUAUACAGGGCCGCUGCAGUGCCAGCAGCAUGGUAGAAUUAUUGUUUCCUUUUUGUUCAACGAGACGGUUAAUAAUGCCUUCUUGCGGCAACACCUUCUUUCUUCUGCUUCCUAUACAACGGAUUGACUUUGCUCGUCUUCCCUUUCUUCUUAUCCUUCUUCUGCUCGUCCGACCGUCUGCCACGCAUCUUCCGGUAAUUUGCGGAACUCGGGAAUCCAAGGAUUCCGUUCCAGACACUGUAAACCAUAGCGCGUUGUUCCAAGGAAAUUGCCUCGUUCUAACGUGAAUUUCUUCGUCACCGACGCGAGCCAUUGUUCAUUCAACAAUAUUAAUCUUUACCAUUGUCACGGCGAUAUCGAACGCGUCAUGAAUUUAUUACCAUUCACCGUUACGAUAUUACCACUGAGCAAUGAGAAUCAGUUCCGUCGAUUUCAAUAACGCCGAUCAUCGAUGACCCCCCAGGUAUUUAACCUAUUAUGGCAGUUAAGAUGCAAAGAGCAGACACACGCCUUAGGCACGGAAUUCUUACGGGCAGGUAGAGGUUACAUAGGCGAAGACUUUGGAAUGUUAGGAGAUAAGAAAAUUUGAUACAGAGGUUGGGAAUUUUGUUGUGGGUCUAAUAAGGCCUUUAACGUGACGAAUGUUUCGGCGAGAUACAAUUUUCUUUUUUUCAAACUUUUAUUUAAUCAAAUGAACUCGUAAAUAAAAAUAAUGAAAUUCAACCUGAAUUUUAGAUCAGUUCAGCUUUAGUUUUAAUAUAAAACAAAAAGUACUUGCAACUAUUUGCAAUAUUUUUUAAAAUUAUAUUCAUCUUAUUCAAUAUGUUAGAGUUUAAAAGGAAAAUCAGAGUGCGAGUUGUAAGGUAUAACCCGUUGUCGCUAAGCUCGCGUUCCACGUGGUAUUAUUUGUAGCCUUGGCAGCUUGGCAUUUACGUUGACCCGUUCGUUCAAUCAUUCCCUUCCGAAUGCUGCGCAGAUGUAAACGCCGUGCCACGCCGCGAAGAAUAGAGCGAUGAUCUAAGGAACAUCGAUAUUGGAGCCAACUUCCGGGAUUCCGAUAGAGAUACAAUUGAUAGUCAGUGGAAGCGUUACUUCUCUGGGCUCCUUUUGUUAGAUAAUCCGCGGGAACGUAGCGCGGGUAAUCGGGCGCGAACCAAACGAUCUUAUCGUCGAUACUGUUAUAACCAUCGUCACGAUUAACCGACAGCCACGAUCUGUCCGAUAAUUUUUAUCAAAAUGAAAGUACAACAAUACGAAGUGUAUGAAAAGGGAAAGAAAAAACGAGAAGCGAAAGGAAAGAAAGCAAAGCGGUAAUCCGGUUUUUCCCUGGAGAGUUUUAAAAUCUGUCGGCAUAAAGUCCUCGUCGACGGCUCAUCUCAUCAAGAUAUCGAGUCAAAGGGGAUCUUCAUCUAGAUGUUUGAAGCGACCUAACCUAAAGUUGCAGUCUGUCGAGCGUCUCCCAUCCCCGCCUCACACUACCCUCGGUCCAGGCCCAAUAUUCAAAGUGUACUUUGCAACGACAGUUCCAAGCCGGUUACUCGACGCUUCCUCGCUAAAAGCAGCCUCUUUUCUCCCCUUGUCUCCUUUAUAUUCCUGUUUUCUCUGCUGCCGGCCAUCGGUUCGUCGCGAUCUUCUCUCCGCCCUUCGAUAAAAUAAUGGGCGGAAGUGGUUCGCUGACAGCUUCCCUACCCCUUUCUCUCUCACUCUCUCUAUCUGCCGUGAUUUUCUUGCGCUCGCGUUUCAAAGGCAUUUCAACUCUUGUCGUUUCACUUGUAAAUCGCGUUUAAUCGGAUACCGUUAUUGCCCGCAGAGGAUCGUGAUAAAGGAGGAUAUCCAGCAGGAACGCGUGUGGCGCAACUCGAUCAAUUUUAUUCGAAGAAACAAAAAGUAAUAAUUGGAUCGUGAUCAGAAUUAAUAUUUAACUUUCGUUGGAAAAUUUAACAAAUAUUACUUGUUACUUGUUAAAAUAUCUAAGUUGAGUAGAUUGGAAUUAAAAAAAAAGAAAAAUCUUUAUUUUUUACGAUUAAGAUUUCUACGCUUGGUGGAAAACACGGUAUCAAAUGUACGAGCAAACCGCUGUCCAGCAUACCGCAAGUCACAAGUCCUACGUAUCGCGACAAACCACUUGCCCGGACGUGUGUUUACGCGGGAUGCCAUUACUUUCCGCGUAUUAACCGCGAAAAUUUUAACGGUUCUUGAGAAGCCAUUUUAAAAGAAAAAUAUGAUUCUUUUUUUUAUGAAACAGGGAAUCUAUAAUUUUGACCCAUUUGGUAAUUCUACUGUUAAUAUACCUAUUGAUUUUAACUUCAGUCAACUACCAACUGGUAUCAGUUUUGAGUUGAAUCACCAUUUCAAGUGGAAGAGUUGAUAAUAUUAAUUCGAAUUUUGUACGCAAGAAUACGUUUGGCGCGCAGUUGAAGAUCGAUUAAAGUUCGACGCAAUUAUUCAUUUCCCCGUCGCGAUAAUUCUUUUUCUGCGUCUUUAGUAACGCGCUUUGUACCCAAAGGGUUGCGGGUAAUUUAUGCGCUGGCGAAGUGCAAUAGCUUUCGCAUCGUUGCAUCCAGGACCUUUCGAUGCGAGCCGGGGUAAAACAUAUUUCGAGCAACAGGUUCUUACGAUAACUUUCGCUAAGUUUCAAGAUAAAUCCCCCCCUCCCGCGGCAAUUAACACUUUCGUGUACUCGCCAAAUUUCAUUUCCAUUCGUCCCAAUGUUUUCCACGCGCGAAACUUUAAGCGCGGUGGGGAAAGCGUUAACGAGAUUUGAUUUUUGAGCGCGUUCUGCAUCUUUGAUGGCCGGAGCUAAUCCAGCGCAAAUACGAGCUUAAGCGUCGAUUCGAUUUCACGGUUCGAUAUCGUGUUUGCAUAUCCGCCUGUUUUUAUUGUGCUUGCCGGGUUGGCAAACUGCUGUAUCCGAUCGAGAUACCGUGUAAUUGAGUGGUAGGAAAUUUGUUUUCCAUUUAACGCUGCGGAAAGCGCGCGAUCGGGAUUAUUGUAAAAAAAUUGGAAAAAUUGAAAAGCUCGAGGCAGCGGGGGGGGGAGUAGGCGUGACUUGGGGGCCGAGGGAAAACGGUCGAUAACGCGUCGCGGGACGAGUCGGGAUCGCUGAAAGAAAUUACAAACUAUUAUCGGGAUCGUUUCAUUGAGAAAAAUUAGUCUGUAUUGGGAAUUACGGGAGGUAGAGUCAGGGAGAGCCACGCGAAAGAGGCGAACGGUGUAGAUAGGUGGGUGGAGAAGGGUUGGAGAGAGGGAGCGAGGACAACGUAGCUGCGUAACAUUGUAGCGUAUACAUAUAGUGGAGAGCGGAUCGAAGGAUCUCGAGGAAGGCAUCGUCGGCCCCGAAAGCCCGUUGGCUGUCGUAGGAAGCGUAGAGCGAGCAUACCAGCCAGUCUGGCCGGCUGGCUGGCUGGCCAGCCGGUCGAUCAAUAUUGCCAUGGCUACGACGUGCAACGUGGAGGAGAAAGAAGAGGAGGCGGAGUAGGUGGCGGCUGGCUGGCCGGCUGGCUGGCUGGCUGGCUGGCUGGCUACAGAGAAUGGUGGAGGGGUGGUUGCUCAUAUUCCGGUUACACACGAGAGGGUUGAGAACCAGAUCUGAUUCCGGGGCGAGAGCAGAGGGGCGAGAAUGUACGGAGGUUACAACGUAGUAGUAGAGAAAUACGUACUGCUACGUCACGAGACCUACACCUUGCCCCACCGAGCCAGCCGCCAGCCACCACCGACGCGUUCUACUCGAGCGAUUCAUGACGACGUAGAAACUGCCGCUUCUCUCGCCCGCCCGCCCGCCUGCCCGCCUGCCCGCCGCGAAGAAACGCUGACACGACCGGCCCUUCUGCCAUCCUCGAAACUCGAUCACGCUCGCGACUAAUUCUGCCACGUUUCUUUACAACGCGUGCGUACCGGUAGAUACGCUCGUCUUGACCUCCCAGUAACGCGCUACUCGUAUUACUAAAAUAUUUUCUUUUUUACUGCUACAUUGUAUUUCUUCCGCGUGUUUCAUAAAACCACCAAACUAUGUAUCGUAGUUCGUUAAAUAUUAUUUAUCGCAACAAUCUGCUUGCGGUGUAAGAGGAUCGCCGUGGGUUUACUGCAGCUUUCUACUGUUAAGAAAAGCCGGGCAAGCGGCAUAGUAUCGAGUUGCACGCGCGCACCUCGCGAUUUGUCAGCCUGAUAUUUCGCUACUUUGUGGGGAAUAAAAUCCUGUCUCUCUUCGUACCACGUUUCUGUUUCAUAAUGGAAACGAAUAGCCCAGUUGCAAUUUACAGUGACGAAUAAGCACACCGAGGUAUUUCCUUUCUCUUUAUUAUAACAUAAAUUAUAAAAACUUAUCUAAAUGUACGAAGUUUAAGGGGAAAGAAAAAGUAGGUACGAGGUUGAACUCGGGCCACCCAACAAUGUGGUAAAUCGACCUGUCAGCCUGAUAAUAUCGAUCGUUACAUUGUUUCCCCUGUACUCAUCAUUUUUUCAUCGGUCAUUUGUUCGCGAUGAUAGAUGCGAUCGUGCCUCGGGCUCAUAUUGCAACAAUGCUCGAAGGAGGAGACUUUGUGGCAAACGCGUGGGCGUGUAAGAAAUUUCCUUUGCUUCUUGUGAUGUAUGCACCUUAAGAUGCACGUAAGUGAUUGCGGAAUUGUUUUGUAUCCAAAAAAGAACAUCAGGAUAUUCGUAGGUGUUUAAAAUCUUCAUAUUACAAAGUAGCAAUGUGUAUACAGGGUAUUUUAUUUUCAUAAUUAAUUUAACAACAGACAUAGUUUUGGUUCAGUAAACUUUCUAGCUACGGGGGAGUUCAACUUCCUUAGCUGCAAGGUUGGCCGAUCUGCGAAGGUAGAACGUGCUGCAUUGUGGACUGUAGAAAGCAUGUAGGCUGUACGGCCGAAUCGAUAAGAGAAAAAUCGAUUGAUUGUGUAGCUAACGUGCAACGCGCGCUGUCCGAGAACGAUCGAUUCCACUUAUCUUGCAACCCACGCGAAUAUCCUGUAUACGUAUUUUGUUUCCGUUUGCUACCUUUGCAAACUUGUUCGCUUAUGAUUUAAAUAUAUUUAUCUACUUCAAGCGGGCUCCGUCAUUUUUGAGUUAAAAAAGUCGCCAGACAGAAGGUUAAUCACCGCACAGUAGUAUUAUAGUAUUUCUGUUUUCAUUGGCGUUCGUUCCAGCGGCGGCUAGUAACCUAGUGACUUUUACAUAACCUGAAAAGCGCGCGUCUCGUGUCAUAAUUCACGCGCACGUGAACGCAGCCAACUCGAGUGCAACGUACGCGGGCCGUGUCGUUCUCAAGGCUGAACGAGGUAAAUAUUAUUUGAAACAAUUUCAUUUAAGAAAAAUUAAAUAAAUUCGAAUAAACGCGUGUGUCGUAAUAAAUCGGAACAACGUGGCGCGUACGUAAACGCGUAUCGUACGUCGACGUGUGUACUCGUGCGUGGCGUUGCUCCGGAGAAUGAGUAGAAACGUAGGCACACUUGCAUACACGUAAACGUGGCGUACGUGGUCGGUUGGACGAGGAGAGUGGCGGUGAGCAUCGACAACACACGAGGGCCGCGAGUUCUUAACGUGCACGCAAUUUAACUCGAGUCGGCUUGACUCGAUACGCGCGCCAAGCACUUUCUCGUUAAUGAAAACUUUACUCCGGUUGCCCUAUCUCGCUCUCUCUCUGCCCUCUGUGUUCCUCGUGUGGCUGGCCUCGUACACGCUCCCUUCUCCUGGCGCGCGUGAAACCUACGCCCAUUCUGUUUGACGUUUUAAUUGGAUCGCCGUGUUUUUUUAAUUGGCCUAUCGGGAUUAACGUCUGAUUCGUUGCUGAAUUCUUUUGUUUACUUCGAUCAUUAACACGGUCAGCGUAUAAGUUCGUCCUUCGUCUUAUAAGGUAUGGAAAAUGAUAAAAUUUAGUAAAUAUAUUUUUAAACAAAAGAACAAUGUAAAAUAAUAUGAGAUCCGAAAUUAAGUUAAAAUUGGGGUUCUCUCCAUGGUCCGCCGUCUUUGAGAAUUUUAUCUACCCGUACAAUAGUGUAGUAUUUCGCCACGUGUUGCACCCUCGGUAGAGCCGGCCCUGAUAUAUUGUAAAAAUUAAUUUUUUCUGUAUUUAGAAACAAAGGUAACCGAAUGAAUAGACUGAAUCGUGCCAAGGUUAAUACGCGUAUUAAAGAUGGUACCCCAUGACGGUUAUAUGUUCAUGGAAAAAACCCGAGGUGGUCAGCCUUGGGGUUAAAAAACAAAUCAAUCAAUAAUUAUAAGCGUGUCGGUGCGAAGGUUGCGAUCGCAAUUUAGCGUAGGUCAUGUCCGUGGAGGAUUUCCUGUAAACACAAUUACAGUGUUCCAAGAUUGUAUUCUGCCCCGGACACGCUAUAAUAUAGCAUUCGAUAUACUAUAUUUUCGGAUGGCUACUACGACGGAUAAUUGUUGGAGUCGGUAGUGGUUGGAAGCUGAAAGUUCGUUGUAACGAGUCACGGACACGUGACAAUGCGUGAACCAGCCAGGACGGAAAAAAGAGGCCGACGAAGGAGCAUAAUAAAGUGCAAGGAGAAAAAGAUGGAAGGCGAAAGAGUGAGGGAACGAUCCAAGGGGAGCGCAGACUACCGGAUGUGACGUACUCGGCCGUCUAAACAUAGAUACACGCUACGCAACUCUGCCGCCUCUUCAUCGUUGCUUGUAACGCCUGCUUGCUUGCUCUGCUCGAUUCCGCUCGACUCCGCUCGCUUUCCUCCCUUUCCCACUUCUUGCCCCUCUACUCAAGGCUACUACUACUGUCAUCAGAAAAGCAAGCCAGUAUGAAAGAAACUCACCGUGCUUUUUCCAUACUACACAUGGUAGUGAAAUAUGAAUCUUUUGAAAAUUUCGACAUUUUCGAAAGUAGUGCAAAUUCGACAGCGUUAGGACCGAGAGGUGGUCAAGACUUGUUCGUUACGUUAUAUCCUGUAACGAUUACGCGGACGGUGAGUAACGGCGGUGUUCUCGUAGAAGAAAAAUGCGAGCAGAGGGGAAAAAGAAGUACUCGUACCGGUUGCAAAAGAACCGAGGCGGCAGCUUAGAUAAAGCCGCGGCGCAAACGUAACUUCUGAUUCAUUCACAGAACGCGCUUACGUAACUCAGCCGCUACAAUGAAUUACGUCUGCAGUAUGUUAUCGUUGAACGCCAGCGAUCGUAAAUCAGUGUUGCACCAUCGUUCGGAUCCUUUAAAUCCGUUACACAAGAAAAGCAUCCCCGCGUACGCGCGUCUUAGAAAAGGAGAGCACAGUCGGACGGUCAAGAAUAUUUUUCACGAUUACUUGAAAACUACAGUUGCGUGCUCGAUAAUUCCCCGUAAAACAGGGAAUUAGCGAAAGGGAUAAUUCAGAACAGGAGGUACGCGGGGGAGGUUUAUCGCGAGGAGCCGAAGGUUAUUGACAUUUUCCAGCCUGGUAAUGGGACGUGCUCGAGUUGUAGCAACGAUGAGCAGAAGAAUGCUUUUCGCAGAGUGCGUAUACGUGCCUUCUACGUGGAAGGGUGCGAGCGAAACGAAUAAAGGCAUUUGUCACAUGUGCCCUUAAGACUGGCUGGACUUCUCCCCUGGAGGGCAGUAAUGCCGUACAAUGGGAGCCCUUCGGCUGAAUAGCUCGAUGGAUCGUCCGGCGAAAUGUGGAGCUCCCUCUUUUCUCGUUCCUGGACACACGAUGCGUUUCGUGCUUCCCACUGGAUUUUCUCGGAAUACCUCGGCUUACCCUAACGCCGUACGAUGAAACAUUCAUGAAUCACUCGUUCGGAAGGAUUACCGUCAUCGCAGAAAAUUAUAGCGCCUAUACGCUGGCGAUCGACUCGACAAUGACGCAUUCGAAGGGUUAGAAAAAGAGAAAUGGAAAAAAAGAAAUAAGAAAUAUGCUCGGUAGGAAAGGGUCAAUUAUAAGGCGUGUAGAGUGGCACGAGGUCGAGUAGAGUAUUUAGCCGGAAGUGAACUUGAUCCCCAUCGAGAGGGCAAAGUUCGCGGAUAGGAAGAAGGAGGAGAUUGUUUGGAAGGUUUUAAGGCCCUCCACUCGGUAGGAAAAUAACGGGUAGGAAGUGCAGGCGACAAGGAGCGCGGAGGUCCUUACGGUAGGGAAUUCUGCAACAGCCUCCGCCUACAGGAACCUCAGACGGGAGCAUCGAUCUGGGCGUCGGCCUCAAGACAACCCCUCUGGCCCCUUUCCACCCUCCUUCCUUCCUUCGUUGCUCUCUUUCUCUCCAUCCCUCCAACCCUCUCCACCCCACCUCUACCGCUGUCCUCUCCGGGUGGAAGCUCCGCUCGCACCCCUUUUUACCUUUUAUUCCGCCGCGGAAACUUGCACCAAAGUGGACCAAUUGUCCCGUUAUUGUUUUAUUCCGCUUUUCCCCCCUUUCAAGUAUUUACAGUACGCCGAGGAUCGCGUUAUUAUUGUUUUUCUUCCCAUCCCCCCAUCGUCCCACCGAAUCUUGGCUUUCUUUUGAGCCACCCUUUGAUGACCGAACGCUUGUGACUCUCCUCUUUGAAAUAUCGCCGCGUUAGGCUGAGUUUCUGAAUUUUUCACGUUAAAUUAUUUAAACAUCUUCACUUUGUCGCGAGGAAAAAUUGAGUACAAAGCAAUUCCGGCGUCUCUGCGAUGCCUUGACAUUGCAUCUGCACCGACGUCGGCGCAAUCAAGAACUCAUCUCCUCUAGGAAGGACAGUCUCCGCGGCAUUGUGCGCUCGUCAUUUGGAAACUUGUCAUCAGCUUUCAACUUGGCGGAACUACGACCCGUGACUUCUAACUCCGCUCCUUCCUCUGUUAUCCAUCUCCUUCUUGCAUCUCCGUCUCUCCGUUUUCUUUUUCGGCUAAUUGCCACCGCGAUCGAGUGUACUUGAGAGCUACUUUCGGAAGGGUGAAUGAUUUUUAAGCGUUUUUGCAUAUCUAAGGAGACGAGAACGUUUCGUUGCUUUCUAUUUCGUAGCUCACCUUUUUCUCACCUUGUUUUCUUUCGUUCCACGGUUAGUUCUGCUGCUCGGAGAAAGCUUAACAGGAAUGUAUUCAUAAACGUGCUCCAAAUUCAGCGAUACCCCGAUGAAUUUCAAAGAUUCUUCCGAGAAAUCAAUUAAAGUUGCACGGUAGAGACGGAAAUAAUUCGUGAUCGGAGAAAUCAGUGUAGUCGAUCGAGAUCCACGAUUGUCGUAUUUUCUCGGGGGGAGGGGGGGACACGAAGCCGAUAAAACUGGCAAAGAAACGGCGAACGUAGUCACGUCUCGGGCCAUCAUCAGCCGUAGCUUCUCACGUAGCGCGUCGAGGAACGUGCCCUUCGGCGCCUCCAUAGGAGGGCUAAAAAAGGACACGCGGGAUAGAGAAAUUCGGUGGAUCUGCCCUGGGCGAAAACGAGCCCGGGGUAUAUUAGUAAGACGGUAUUACGUGUAUAUCUGUAUACACCUGAAAUCUCGAUUUAUAUUUCUCCUAGGUCGUUUCGGUCUCUUUGAAAGAUUACGCGUCAUCUUUGAGACAUCCGUCGUGACUCGCAUAUCGAACUUGUACAGAUGUUUCACCGGUAAACAAUGAUUCAUUCGCUAUCGCUGUUGCUUUUUAAAAGAAUUCUAGAAACCGAAGGAAACCUUGAGUCAUUUAGCAAUCUAGUCCAUUAUAAAGAUUUUAUAAUUUCAUUAUAAAUUAUUGACUUCUCUUAUUGAUCUCGAGGAAUUAUGGGUAGAAACCAAUAUGGCGUCAAACUAACCUCAAAAAUAACUUUUAAACGGAUGAAUAUCUAAAGUUAAAACUUGUGUUCUUGAAUUUAUCUCGUCAAAUACUAUUAGAUGAUAUAAGAAGGACAAUAAUUAUUCAGUGCGCCCCAAAAUAAAGUUCAUCCGAGGUAAUAAAUGUAAUGCUAUUGGCGAGAGUCAUUCCCUUCAGCAUCUUCGACGACGUUUCUUUCAGCGCUCAUAAAUUCCAUUCCGCCGCAAGCAAAGUUUAUUUCCCGUCAUUUCGAAGGAGCCGCGCGAUUUCUCCGCGUCUCGGCUACCUUUCGGUUGCCAUCUAUCGAACUCAUCUUCGAUCUUGGUGGAAUUUCCUACCGGUCCGCGUCCGGUUCCGUCCUUAGAAGAGGUACGAGGACGAUCGUGUAACCAGCCGGAUGGCAUACUUACUGGCCGCGUCUAACGACGCACACAGAGUUCUAUAUCGACGCGGUCGAACGACCCUGGAGAGAACGUUCGUUUGCCUCUCUGCGUGGUCCGCGUCGUGGUCGUGGUCGUGGUCGUGGUCGUCGCAGUCAACUGCGGAGCCAGGUACGCGUACGUGGAAUCGGAGUCUCCUGGAACCUCGUUAAGAAUUGCGUAACGCGUGCUGCGGGUCAAUUACCUUAGGCAUAGAUGCCGUUGCGGCGACGGUGCGCAAUCGUUGCAAGCUGAUCUCGUUACAACGCUUCGCCUUACGCAACGAUCUGCGCUUUCGUAGUCGAUGACGCGCCAGGUGCGUCGUACCGGUGACUUUUUCCUCUUAGCCACACAAGCGGUGCUUGAUGUGUACCGUAGAAUCUCCUACUUUUCUUCUCUAGCAAGUUCGCUCCUAAUGGGGACUUCCGUGACAAGUCUAAGAUUUGUUGCUACCAGGAUAAAUGAGAAACAAGGAUUGCCAGAUCCAACGAUAGAAACGGUGUCGGUUGGUACCACUGGCUUCCUCUAAAACGUACCUCGGCAUCGUCGGACAGCAUCUUUGGACCGAGCGUGCCCUGAUUCCGUGGACAUUCCACAAGUAAUCCACGGUUGAACGAAACUCGUGACGAUCGAAUGAUAUUCCGCUCCUAGAAAUUCUAUUUCAUUAACGAUCCACCGAGCGGUUUCUGAACCUAUUGAUAGAAUACACAAGAAUCUCCUCUGUCCUCUGUACCACUGUUUGCAUAAUUCCUCUACCCGUAGAAUCUUGGAAUGCAUCGUGUUACGAGUUCCUGGAACUCUUUCAUCUUCUACCUUAGAAAAUUCCAAUAGUUUUCAGCUUCAGAGAUUUCUGAAAUUUAGUUGUCGAAGCUUAGAGACUGCGCGUGUAAAAAAUUUUUACAUUUCAGAGAAAUUUUCAUUAGGGACGAGUCUCGGGUCGGGUCGGGUGGUACCUUGGAAAAAAUUCCCAACCCGAUCCGAUUCGAGGCUCGGAUACUCGCACGCCCCUGAUUCUCACCGACUCUAUGUUUCCGAGUAAUGGACUUAAAGUCUAAUCGUGGCGAUUAGAAGGAUAAUACGAUAAAAAAUCGGCGUCGAGGCUUCUCGACGGUAUUCAUUGUCGUUUGUUGGAGAUAUUCUGGCGCCACGAUGUCGCGAUGACAAUCUUUGCUGCGUCAGCAUCGGGAUUGCAUUACGGAGCGGAGCGGCGACAGGAUUCGUUAGCAUUCGCGUUGUCGCUUUUACGAAUAGCGCCGGUAGCUACCGGCGGGAUCCUCUCUAGGUCGACCGAUCGUGGGAAAUUCGCCUUUUGUCUCCUCCACCUCCUCUAUCCUUCGCCCCCUUUGCUUUCUUCGCCGUUAACGAGGCGACCUGAUAAAAGCCUGCAACUCCGUAUCAGUCGUUGUACCGACAAUAAAUCAAGUAGCAUCGCACCACCUCGCCACGCCGUACAACACCCUUGUUAAUGAGCUUAACACGCCGUGGAUAGGCAGAGAAAGGCGGCGCCUUUCCUGAUCAUUUUAUACACGAAAAAGAAACGUUGAGAACGAAAAGUGGUCAGUGCAAAUUGGCCUUAUUCGACACAGGAACAUGGAUCCGACAGAUAAAUUCACGCUUGGGGAUUUUUGGACAUGGGAAACUUGAUUCUUUGGGAUUUUGGGAUUUUGUGACAUGAAAAGUACGUACUAUAAAUCUUCUUGGAUGUACAAGCAAACGUAAAUUAACAUAUACGAGGUACGUUGAAACUCCCCUGAAAGUUUGAAUUCAAGCUCGGCCUGAAC
Long non-coding RNA from Osmia lignaria (orchard mason bee), 22974 nucleotides. RefSeq lists it as uncharacterized. The record is from RefSeq and is a predicted model, not a curated record. Lineage: Eukaryota; Metazoa; Arthropoda; Insecta; Hymenoptera; Megachilidae.